Molecule: ribosomal RNA, 404 nt
Filed under: uncultured bacterium
Lineage: Bacteria
Description: bacterial SSU rRNA
Rfam family: Bacterial small subunit ribosomal RNA
Source: RNAcentral
UGGGGAAUCUUAGACAAUGGGCGCAAGCCUGAUCUAGCCAUGCCGCGUGAGUGAAGAAGGCCCUAGGGUCGUAAAGCUCUUUCGCCUGUGAAGAUAAUGACGGUAGCAGGUAAAGAAACCCCGGCUAACUCCGUGCCAGCAGCCGCGGUAAUACGGAGGGGGUUAGCGUUGUUCGGAAUUACUGGGCGUAAAGCGCGCGUAGGCGGGCUGGAAAGUUGGGGGUGAAAUCCCGGGGCUCAACCCCGGAACUGCCUCCAAAACUCCCAGCCUAGAGGUCGAGAGAGGUGAGUGGAAUUCCGAGUGUAGAGGUGAAAUUCGUAGAUAUUCGGAGGAACACCAGUGGCGAAGGCGGCUCACUGGCUCGAUACUGACGCUGAGGUGCGAAAGUGUGGGGAGCAAACAGG